GAAAAUAUCAAAGCAAAGUAAGAAACCCAAAAGCUACCUAAAAAUCCAAAACAGGAAGGGCUUCGCGCAAUCAAUCUCUCUCUGAUGUCCUCUCUCACAAAUCCCUAAUUCAAUUCCACCUAAAAUAUGUAUUGGUUCUUCAAGUCUCUCCAAUCCGACGAUCCAGAUUCUUCAUCUUCUUCUCCAUCAUCUUCACACCCACAUGAUAGCCCCAAGAUUCGUGGCGGAGGAGUUAAACAGGACUUUUCCGUCAUCGGGGAGUCCGUUGGCCGCCAAUUGCGUGGCGUCGCCAACUUUCUGGCUCCGCCUCCGUCACCGCCGUCGUCCUCUUCUCUAGAUAAGUCACUGCCAUCGGAUGAUUCUUCUUCUCUAUCGUCACAGUCGCAAGCUCUCCUUGGGAUCCGAAAUGAUCUUGCUGAAAUAGGAGGUAGCUUAAGGAGUGGUCUGUCUUUACUCUCCAGCAAUAAAGCUGUUAGCGAGAUCUCCAAAUUUACCUCCAGCUUUUUGCAAUUCCAAAGUGAUAAUAAUGAGGAAAAAGAUGAAGAUGAUUAUGUGCCGGGGAUUACAGAGGACGUUAUUGGUUUUGUUCAGGAGAUUUCGAUGAGACCUGAAUGCUGGACUGAUUUUCCAUUGUCACUAGAAAAUGAUUUUAAAAUGUCUGAUGCUCAGAGAGAACAUGCUUCAACUGUUGAGCAAAUGGUUCCUGGUCUUACAGCUCUUAGAGCUAACAUUCAUAGUUAUAUGGAGGAUGAACAAUUUUGGAUGAUAUAUUUUAUAUUGUUACUGCCAAGACUGAAUGAACAUGACUUUGAGAUUCUAUCAACUCCCCAGAUAGUUGAAACAAGAAGUGUACUUCUGCUGCAGCUACAGAACAAGAGAAAUUUGAAGGUGGAGAGCUCUGAGAAUUCUGCUACACGUAAUACAUCACAAGAGGGCAUCUCAGUCCGCGAGAGAGAAGAAGAGAAUAUCUCAUCUAGGGAAAAGGAGGUCACUGACAUUGCAAAUGCAACUGGAAGGUUAGAAAUUGACAAUUACGAGAAUGCGGAUCAAUGGUUGAAAGAGACACAGAUUGAUACUGGCACAAUCCUGGAUAGACAGAAAAGGCUGGAACAUGAAAUUGAAGAGGAUGUGUCCUUCAGUGAUUUGGAGGAUGAUGAUAAUGGUCUAUCAAGUAGACUAUCCGGUUCUAGGCAAGCACAGGACAUUAUCAGGGCUCCUUCACCCACUGAUUGGGUCCAGCUGAAUGAAAGUUCUGGUGCUGGGGGUGGUCCGCAAAAAGCAAGGCAGUCUAUUUCCCGUGAAAAGGAUUCUGAUGGUGAGUCCAAUGAUUGGCUUAAAGUUGAUGAUUUUGAUUAGGGAAUCCAGCGACUUUUUAUUACCGAUUCAUUGUAAAGUUU
RNAcentral lists this unclassified non-coding RNA (1397 nucleotides) under Hevea brasiliensis (rubber tree). The record is from RNAcentral. Lineage: Eukaryota; Viridiplantae; Streptophyta; Magnoliopsida; Malpighiales; Euphorbiaceae.